Molecule: long non-coding RNA, 1022 nt
Organism: Brienomyrus brachyistius
Lineage: Eukaryota; Metazoa; Chordata; Actinopteri; Osteoglossiformes; Mormyridae
Exons: 3
Source: RefSeq, a predicted model, not a curated record
CCUGUCCUUGUCCUCGAGGCCGGGGAACUGGAUGGCCUGGACAUGGCUGAACUCAGCCAGAUGGGUAGGCUGGAAGGACAGACGGAGUGGGAGACGCGCGUCAUCAGCAGAGGGUUGGGGGUUUGAAUCCUGCCCACCCUCCCUUCCUGGCAUGCCCCCUUGGUCACCUUAUGUCACUGGAGACAGGCUCAAGUCCCACUGCGAGCCACUACUGGACGAUCUGCACAGGCAGCGUUGGCGAACAGCUUGAAGGUCUGCUGGAUCAGCUUUCGCAGCGUCUUGGGCUACAGAGAACGCAGGAGACCAACAAGAGAUCACAAAAGCUGGUUCUGUUCAUCUGAAAUAAGGUGUAGACGACACACUGUGCAGGAUUUGGGCUCAAAUCACGGUGCAUUAUUCCGGAUAGCUGUACGAGUGGCAUGUUCUUAUUAAACAGCCAAGCGCUGCUUGGACUGACAAGGGGACCCUGAAUUAUUAAAGCCACUCUGCCUAAUCCAUCCCCCAUUAUGUGUGAAUCAAUGGGUCAACAGAUUAAUAAUGACAUGAAAGAAAGGCUGUUCUAAGUCUGGAAUUGAGUUUUAUGCAACACAAUUCCUAUAAUUUCUAGGUUUAAAAAGGGGAUGGUUAGCUAAUCUUAUUGGCUAGCUAAAGCCCACACAGACACAGACACACAUAGUCACACUCAGACACAGACACACAGACACACACACAGACACACACACAGUCACACACAGACACACACAGACACACACACAGUCACACACACAGUCACACACACAGACACACACACAGACACACACACAGUCACACGCAGACACACACACAGUCACACACAGUCACACACACACACAGUCACACACACAGUCACACACACAGACACACACACAGACACACGCAGUCACACACACAGACGCACACGGACGCAUUAAGGGACUUUACACCUCUUCAUUUAUUUGAAGAUUAUCCUCACCCCUGCGAAAUUCAAAGGCUGGUGGAAACUGCUGAUAAAGCAUUUUUGGACU